Molecule: ribosomal RNA, 497 nt
Filed under: uncultured bacterium
Lineage: Bacteria
Description: partial 16S ribosomal RNA
Rfam family: Bacterial small subunit ribosomal RNA
Source: RNAcentral
GAUGAACGCUGGCGGCGUGCCUAAUACAUGCAAGUCGAGCGAACAGACGAGGAGCUUGCUCCUCUGACGUUAGCGGCGGACGGGUGAGUAACACGUGGAUAACCUACCUAUAAGACUGGGAUAACUUCGGGAAACCGGAGCUAAUACCGGAUAAUAUAUUGAACCGCAUGGUUCAAUAGUGAAAGACGGUUUUGCUGUCACUUAUAGAUUGAUCCGCGCCGCAUUAGCUAGUUGGUAAGGUAACGGCUUACCAAGGCAACGAUGCGUAGCCGACCUGAGAGGGUGAUAGGCAACACUGGAACUGAGACACGGUCCAGACUCCUACGGGAGGCAGCAGUAGGGAAUCUUCCGCAAUGGGCGAAAGCCUGACGGAGCAACGCCGCGUGAGUGAUGAAGGUCUUCGGAUCGUAAAACUCUGUUAUUAGGGAAGAACAAAUGUGUAAGUAACUAUGCACGUCUUGACGGUACCUAAUCAGAAAGCCACGGCUAACUACGUG